AGUGAACGCUGGCGGUAGGCCUAACACAUGCAAGUCGAACGGCAGCACAGAGGAGCUUGCUCCUUGGGUGGCGAGUGGCGGACGGGUGAGGAAUACAUCGGAAUCUACUAUGUCGUGGGGGAUAACGUAGGGAAACUUACGCUACUACCGCAUACGACCUACGGGUGAAAGCAGGGGAUCUUCGGACCUUGCGCGAUUGAAUGAGCCGAUGUCGGAUUAGCUAGUUGGCGGGGUAAAGGCCCACCAAGGCGACGAUCCGUAGCUGGUCUGAGGGGAUGAUCAGCCACACGGGAGCUGAGACACGGUCCAGACUCCUACGGGAGGCAGCAGUGGGGAAUAUUGGACAAUGGGCGCAAGCCUGAUCAAGCCAUACCGCGUGGGUGAAGAAGGCCUUCGGGUUGUAAAGCCCUUUUGUUGGGAAAGAAAUCCAUCUGGUUAAUACCCGGGUGGGAUGACGGUACCCAAAGAAUAAGCACCGGCUAACUUCGUGCCAGCCGCCGCAGUAA
This 506-nucleotide ribosomal RNA is filed under the name uncultured bacterium. RNAcentral's name for it is "partial 16S ribosomal RNA". It matches the Rfam family "Bacterial small subunit ribosomal RNA", at positions 29 to 523 of the family's 1533-position model. The record is from RNAcentral.